CCUACGGGUGGCAGCAGUGAGGAAUAUUGGUCAAUGGACGAGAGUCUGAACCAGCCAAGUAGCGUGAAGGAUGACUGCCCUAUGGGUGGUAAACUUCUUUUAUAGAGGAAUAAAACGAGGCACGUGUCCAUUUUUGCAUGUACUUUAUGACUAAGGAUCGGCUAACUCCGUGCCAGCAGCCGCGGUAAUACGGAGGAUCCGAGCGUUAUCCGGAUUUAUUGGGUUUAAAGGGAGCGUAGAUGGGUUGUUAAGUCGGUUGUGAAAGUUUGCGGCUCAACCGUAAAAUUUCAAUUGAUACUGGCAGUCUUGAGUACAGUUGAGGUAGGCGGAAUUCGUGGUGUAGCGGUGAAAUGCUUAGAUAUCACGAAGAACCCCGAUUGCGAAGGCAGCUUACUAAACUGUGACUGACAUUGAUGCUCGAAAGUGUGGGUAUCAAACAGGAUUAGAUACCCGUGUAGUC
This 460-nucleotide ribosomal RNA is filed under the name uncultured bacterium. RNAcentral describes it as "partial 16S ribosomal RNA". It matches the Rfam family "Bacterial small subunit ribosomal RNA", at positions 338 to 795 of the family's 1533-position model. The record is from RNAcentral.